This 128-nucleotide small RNA is filed under the name Marmota monax (woodchuck). The record is from RNAcentral. Lineage: Eukaryota; Metazoa; Chordata; Mammalia; Rodentia; Sciuridae.
GCUGGGUAAGGUGGCGCACACCUAUAAUCCCAGUGACUUGGGAGGCUGAGGCAGGAGAAUCAUGAGGAGUUCAAAGCCAGCCUCAGCAAAAACAAGGCCCUAAGUAACUCAGUGAGACCCUGUCUCUA